GACGAACGCUGGCGGCGUGCUUAACACAUGCAAGUCGAACGGAAAGGCCCUGCUUUUGUGGGGUGCUCGAGUGGCGAACGGGUGAGUAACACGUGAGUAACCUGCCCUUGACUUUGGGAUAACUUCAGGAAACUGGGGCUAAUACCGGAUAGGAGCUCCUGCUGCAUGGUGGGGGUUGGAAAGUUUCGGCGGUUGGGGAUGGACUCGCGGCUUAUCAGCUUGUUGGUGGGGUAGUGGCUUACCAAGGCUUUGACGGGUAGCCGGCCUGAGAGGGUGACCGGCCACAUUGGGACUGAGAUACGGCCCAGACUCAUACGGGAGGCAGCAGUGGGGAAUAUUGCACAAUGGGCGGAAGCCUGAUGCAGCAACGCCGCGUGCGGGAUGACGGCCUUCGGGUUGUAAACCGCUUUCGCCUGUGACGAAGCGUGAGUGACGGAAAUGGGUAAAGAAGCACCGGCUAACUACUU
This 467-nucleotide ribosomal RNA is filed under the name uncultured bacterium. RNAcentral's name for it is "partial 16S ribosomal RNA". It matches the Rfam family "Bacterial small subunit ribosomal RNA", at positions 28 to 506 of the family's 1533-position model. The record is from RNAcentral.